GUGGGGAAUUUUGGACAAUGGGCGCAAGCCUGAUCCAGCAAUGCCGCGUGCAGGAAGAAGGCCUUCGGGUUGUAAACUGCUUUUGUACGGAACGAAACGGUCCUGGCUAAUACCCGGGGCUAAUGACGGUACCGUAAGAAUAAGCACCGGCUAACUACGUGCCAGCAGCCGCGGUAAUACGUAGGGUGCGAGCGUUAAUCGGAAUUACUGGGCGUAAAGCGUGCGCAGGCGGUGCUGUAAGACAGGCGUGAAAGCCCCGGGCUCAACCUGGGAAUUGCGCUUGUGACUGCAGUGCUGGAGUGCGGCAGAGGGGGAUGGAAUUCCGCGUGUAGCAGUGAAAUGCGUAGAUAUGCGGAGGAACACCGAUGGCGAAGGCAAUCCCCUGGGCCUGCACUGACGCUCAUGCACGAAAGCGUGGGGAGCAAACAGGAUUAGAUACCCGAGUAGUCC
RNAcentral lists this ribosomal RNA (450 nucleotides) under uncultured bacterium. Its description in RNAcentral is "partial 16S ribosomal RNA". It matches the Rfam family "Bacterial small subunit ribosomal RNA", at positions 354 to 796 of the family's 1533-position model. The record is from RNAcentral.